RNAcentral lists this long non-coding RNA (540 nucleotides) under Trifolium pratense (red clover). RNAcentral's name for it is "long non-coding RNA (TPRA_LNC006854)". The record is from RNAcentral. Lineage: Eukaryota; Viridiplantae; Streptophyta; Magnoliopsida; Fabales; Fabaceae.
GGUACUUUUUCUUUCGUUACAAUUCAACACUUAAAAUCCAUGUAACCAUUAUUGAACAAAAAAAAGAAAGUAAAAUGAAAUGGUACAAAGAGAAUGAAGAAUGAAAGAGAGAGUAAUAGGUGUUUGAACCUGAUUUGAAAAGAAGAAGUAACUGAAGAAGCCAUUGUUAGAAGCCACAAGGCUUUUGCGAAAGUGGGAAAAUUUCUUAUCCAACGAAGAUAAAUUCUGUUAUCUACUUCUGCUAUGAGUUUAAUUGUUGUGCACCGUCGGUGUAAAUUUUUUUUACACAUGCAUUCAAUAACACGUUGCCACAUCAUUUAAUGAAUGUGACACAUCAUGUGUUUUUAAUUAUCAUACAUGAUGUGUCGGAAUAUUAUUGGUUGCAUGUGCAAAAUAACUUUACACCGACGGUGCAUAUAAAUUAAAUUCUUCUGCUAUAUGCUACGGUGGUGUGUGUAUCAUUGUAAACUAAAUGGGUAACUACCGAGUUGGUUGGAUUUUGUAUUUUGUUUUUACCGUCAAACUUCAAAGCAAAUGAAA